AGCCAGCUGCUGCACAAAGCCACAUUGUGGGCCUCCGCCUGGCGGGCAAGCACGUGACUUCAGACGGUGGGUGGCUGCCGGACGGGUGUGCCCUGCUGCCUUCCUCCAGGCCAGGACUCUGCAUCCUUGCCUUGACCCCACACAGCAAGAGCCAGUUGCUUUCUGGCCAUGAGGUGAGCAGCUUUGCUCCACCACAUGCACCUGCAUGAUGUGCCACCAUCAGCCCCAAACAACAGGACCAACCAAUAAUGGACUAAAACCUAUAAAACUAUGAGUCAAAAUAAACAUUUUUCUUU
Molecule: non-coding RNA, 296 nt
Organism: Marmota flaviventris (yellow-bellied marmot)
Lineage: Eukaryota; Metazoa; Chordata; Mammalia; Rodentia; Sciuridae
Source: RefSeq, a predicted model, not a curated record